RNAcentral lists this ribosomal RNA (424 nucleotides) under uncultured rumen bacterium. Its description in RNAcentral is "bacterial SSU rRNA". It matches the Rfam family "Bacterial small subunit ribosomal RNA", at positions 354 to 776 of the family's 1533-position model. The record is from RNAcentral.
GUGGGGAAUCUUCCGCAAUGGGCGAAAGCCUGACGGAGCAACGCCGCGUGAGUGAAGAAGGCCUUCGGGCCGUAAAGCUCUGUUGCCGGGGAAGAGUGCCAUAAGGGGACUUAUGGAGGGACGGUACCCGGCGAGGAAGCCGCGGCUAACUACGUGCCAGCAGCCGCGGUAAUACGUAGGCGGCAAGCGUUGUCCGGAAUCAUUGGGCGUAAAGGGGGCGCAGGCGGGGAUGCAAGUCUUUCCUGAAAGCGUGGGGCUCAGCCCCAUGAUGGGAAAGAAACUGUAUCUCUUGAGCGCGGGAGAGGGAAGCGGAAUUCCUGGUGUAGCGGUGAAAUGCGUAGAUAUCAGGAAGAACACCAGUGGCGAAGGCGGCUUCCUGGACCGCGGCUGACGCUGAGGCCCGAAAGCCAGGGGAGCGAACGGG